Molecule: ribosomal RNA, 260 nt
Filed under: uncultured bacterium
Lineage: Bacteria
Description: partial 16S ribosomal RNA
Rfam family: Bacterial small subunit ribosomal RNA
Source: RNAcentral
GUCCACACGGUAAACUAUGGAUACUCGCUGUAGGCGAUACACAGUCUGCGGCCAAGCGAAAGCAUUAAGUAUCCCACCUGGGGAGUACGCCGGCAACGGUGAAACUCAAAGGAAUUGACGGGGGCCCCGCACAAGCGGAGGAACAUGUGGUUUAAUUCGAUGAUACGCGAGGAACCUUACCCGGGCUUAAAUUGCAACUGAAUAGCUGAGAGAUCAGUUAGCUAGCAAUAGCAGUUGUGAAGGUGCUGCAUGGUUGUCGU